UGAUGGGGUAGAGGUCGCGGCUUUUAUGAGUAAUUCGGACGAGAUGCUGAGAACAUUGACGACUCCGAAGGAAAGGAAAGGCCGCCGAAGUCCGUCCUGUUCUCAGAAGGCGCGGGCUGGGGCUGUAUCCGAAUAGGAACAGAACUGUCACGCUUUUUGCCCGUAAAGCGUGGAGCACUACUGAAGAA
Molecule: non-coding RNA, 188 nt
Organism: Bacillus smithii
Lineage: Bacteria; Bacillati; Bacillota; Bacilli; Caryophanales; Bacillaceae
Source: Rfam